Molecule: ribosomal RNA, 321 nt
Filed under: Escherichia coli
Lineage: Bacteria; Pseudomonadati; Pseudomonadota; Gammaproteobacteria; Enterobacterales; Enterobacteriaceae
Description: bacterial SSU rRNA
Rfam family: Bacterial small subunit ribosomal RNA
Source: RNAcentral
AAAUUGAAGAGUUUGAUCAUGGCUCAGAUUGAACGCUGGCGGCAGGCCUAACACAUGCAAGUCGAACGGUAACAGGAAGAAGCUUGCUUCUUUGCUGACGAGUGGCGGACGGGUGAGUAAUGUCUGGGAAACUGCCUGAUGGAGGGGGAUAACUACUGGAAACGGUAGCUAAUACCGCAUAACGUCGCAAGACCAAAGAGGGGGACCUUCGGGCCUCUUGCCAUCGGAUGUGCCCAGAUGGGAUUAGCUUGUUGGUGGGGUAACGGCUCACCAAGGCGACGAUCCCUAGCUGGUCUGAGAGGAUGACCAGCCACACUGGAA